GACGAACGCUGGCGGCGUGCCUAAUACAUGCAAGUAGAACGCUGAAGAGAGGAGCUCGCUCUUCUUGGAUGAGUUGCGAACGGGUGAGUAACGCGUAGGUAACCUGCCUUGUAGCGGGGGAUAACUAUUGGAAACGAUAGCUAAUACCGCAUAACAAUGGAUGACUCAUGUCAUUUAUUUGAAAGGGGCAAAUGCUCCACUACAAGAUGGACCUGCGUUGUAUUAGCUAGUAGGUGAGGUAACGGCUCACCUAGGCGACGAUACAUAGCCGACCUGAGAGGGUGAUCGGCCACACUGGGACUGAGACACGGCCCAGACUCCUACGGGAGGCAGCAGUAGGGAAUCUUCGGCAAUGGGGGCAACCCUGACCGAGCAACGCCGCGUGAGUGAAGAAGGUUUUCGGAUCGUAAAGCUCUGUUGUAAGUCAAGAACGAGUGUGAGAGUGGAAAGUUCACACUGUGACGGUAGCUUACCAGAAAGGGACGGCUAACUACGUGCCAGCAGCCGCGGUAAUACGUAGGUCCCGAGCGUUGUCCGGAUUUAUUGGGCGUAAAGCGAGCGCAGGCGGUUUGAUAAGUCUGAAGUUAAAGGCUGUGGCUCAACCAUAGUUCGCUUUGGAAACUGUCAAACUUGAGUGCAGAAGGGGAGAGUGGAAUUCCAUGUGUAGCGGUGAAAUGCGUAGAUAUAUGGAGGAACACCGGUGGCGAAAGCGGCUCUCUGGUCUGUAACUGACGCUGAGGCUCGAAAGCGUGGGGAGCGAACAGG
RNAcentral lists this ribosomal RNA (765 nucleotides) under uncultured Streptococcus sp. RNAcentral describes it as "bacterial SSU rRNA". It matches the Rfam family "Bacterial small subunit ribosomal RNA", at positions 28 to 776 of the family's 1533-position model. Lineage: Bacteria; Bacillati; Bacillota; Bacilli; Lactobacillales; Streptococcaceae. The record is from RNAcentral.